UUAGGUUGGGGAAUAUGGGUCAUUAGGACCUUAGAGGAGUGACGUCCCUACCCCAUAAUGCAUAGUUAAUUAUAUGCUCUGUAGACAGCAUUUUCAAUUUGUCUCUUUUUGUCAUGUCUAUUUUGUUGUGCGGAUAUUGGCCCUUUGAUGGCUUUUGUAGUAUUAAAGAAAUUGAAUUGAUAGAAAUUAAACCCGACCUUAUUCACCUUAUUAUUAUUUUCAAUCUUAAGAAAUAAAGCUGCUGAAAAUUGUCCUUUAUGAUAAUGAUAUGAAAUUAUAAUAUAAAAAUUCAUUAAUUUAGUAGUAGGCACUAAUCAAAUUAAACCAGGAACAAGCUCAUAAUGACUGCAAUUAAUCAGUACAUUUUGUAUCGCAAUGCUAGGUUGGGCAGGUUCAUCCGUUCAAGGCACAGCAAGUUACUGACUAUGUUGAACCAACUCAUUUCAAUCAUUUCACAUUUUAUUAGAGAACCAAAGAAAGACAUUUCACAGCUAUGGGAAAACUCUAUUUGAGACAACUGUGGCUCGUCCCAGAGAAAAACGAAAGCAAGUGAGAAAGAUGGACGCAAGCGAUAUGGAUCUGAAGGACCUUGGGGGAAAGUAUGGAUUAAAAGACAGUUGAUGUUCAUCCAACAGAGGAGGAGAAAGAAGAUUUAGAUGAAAUUUUAGCAGAGAGAAGUAAAACAAAAAGACAAACAGAAAAAAAAAAGCAGGAGAGGAAAAAUCUACAUUACAUCUUGUGGGAAGUGUAUAACAAAAGGUGUUUUAUCUGUCUGUCCAUGAUGCAUUCUUCACUAAUAUUCGUGAUAAGUUUAUCAGCACAGUAUGACCGAUACAUGAAAAUUUGGAAUACAGAAACUGGUAAGAACUGAUUAGAAAUCAUCUUAUAAUGUCACUGAAAACCAAAGCAUCCAUGAAAAUGUGAGCUAUUGUGACAAAGUGAAUCUUGUACAAAAAUCAGGUUUUGUUCCUAGCUUGAGUACAACCAACUAAAAUCAUUUUCAAAUUCAGAAAUCUGAAAACAUAAUUUAAAGAAAAUUUCCAUUAGAGAUAAACAAUUGAUAAAUUUUGUGUUGGUUUUCC
RNAcentral lists this long non-coding RNA (1082 nucleotides) under Anneissia japonica. Its description in RNAcentral is "uncharacterized LOC117116515, transcript variant X2". The record is from RNAcentral. Lineage: Eukaryota; Metazoa; Echinodermata; Crinoidea; Comatulida; Comatulidae.